UGUGGCACCACGCCUGACUGCAGUGUGAUCUUUUAAAAUCCAGACCUGCCUUGCUGGUCAACCAGGACCGCGUGUUCCUUCACGAGCCCGGAGCCCGACAGCCUCUCCUGCAUCCUCACGCCGGGCUCUGGCCACGCCCCCCUGCCAGGGGCUCACCCGCGCCCCUCCUCGGCAGCUGCGCCUCGCCGGGCCUCUCCGGGCCUCGCCGGGCCCCGGGAGGGGAAGGGGCUCCACCUGCGCGCCACCUGCUGGGCCGCCCGACCUCCCGCAGACCCGGCCAGACCUCGGCGAAGCUCACGCCUCCGGGCUGCACAUCCGCGCCGGCCGCAAGCUCCAGGACGCGGCGGCGAGCCUGAGCCGCUGCGCAUGCGCGCAGGUGCGCGUGCACGCAACAGCCCGCACGCACCGGCACGCACGCGCCCGGCCAGUGAGACUAGGAAGGACAGGUUUGGGUUUGGGGUUUUUUGUUUGUUUGUUUGUUUGUUUGGGGGGGCCUUCGCGCUGAGCUGCAUCCUCGGCCCUUUUUAUUUGCCGACAGAAUCUGGAUGAGUCAGUAAGUUGUCCUGGCGGGGCUUCUCCUUCCUCAGGCUCCCUCGUGCUGAACUCUGGGCGCGCGCCCAGCUGAGGACGUGGCCCGAGGGAGGGAGGUCAGCGGGAGCUUCACAACGUUUGGCCCUGGUUGUGCGCCCUGCAGGGUGUGCCGUGAAGCUGUUGGUGGUUCUGAGGGCAAUCAUAAGCCUGGGGAAGCGUGUACUGUACUGUGUAAUAAUGAAGACAGCAGUUAUCCGCACUUUGAAAGCAAGUUUUGCAAAAUAGUUACGCACUUCCUUUGAGUGAUGAGUUCUAAUAAGCCACAUCCUGUAGGACAUCAGCACACCUUUGGGGGCAACACAGGACUGAGAUGUAGCCUGCACAGAGGCUGUCCUGGACACAGAAGCAGGUGAAUUGCUGGCCCACAAUGCAGCCUCAUAGAUCUGUGCCGAGCGGAUCCAAGGGACCAGGGUAGGUGCUGUUGCCUCCACUCACAGUGAGGAGAACAGAGCCCGGCUGUGAUGCUGCUCUGAAGAAGACCGUGCGGCUCGCGCUUAGUCGGGGAUGGGCAGGAAGCGGACGGCGAACCAGUUUAUCCAGGCCAAGGCAGACCUUCGUCCAGCCUGAAGAAAACAGCC
Molecule: long non-coding RNA, 1169 nt
Filed under: Heterocephalus glaber (naked mole-rat)
Lineage: Eukaryota; Metazoa; Chordata; Mammalia; Rodentia; Bathyergidae
Description: lncRNA (ENSHGLG00000046880.1)
Source: RNAcentral